RNAcentral lists this long non-coding RNA (1651 nucleotides) under Astyanax mexicanus (Mexican tetra). Its description in RNAcentral is "lncRNA (ENSAMXG00005025354.1)". The record is from RNAcentral. Lineage: Eukaryota; Metazoa; Chordata; Actinopteri; Characiformes; Acestrorhamphidae.
CUGCCACAAGACUUUGCUAUCUUUGUUAUCUACGCUUUCUUGCUUUUACUGUUUCUCUGCAGGGCUUUAGCUUUUCACUAACUGGCAGAUUUAGGUCACAGACAUUUGUGUGUGUGUGUGUGUGUGUGUGUGUGUUUAUGGUGUGAAGUGUGCCAGGGCUAGCCAACUAAGAGGCCUUUGUCUUGGGAGGCCUGUAGAGUUGUCUUGCCAGGGAAAUGGGUCACUUUCAUCAAUUUAAAGAAAAACAACGAAGAAAUUAUUAGAGCAAAAAACACUGGCUACCGGCUUUGCUGAUUCAGCAACAGAUCUUUGUCCCCCCAUAAAAUCUUGUGUUUUUUCUUCUCAACAGCAGAGUAAACACAGUAAACACAGCCUUUUUACUACCGCAUUCUCAAUAUCUACAUAUAUAACAACAGUAGCACCUUCCGCACAGUGCAAUAAUACAGUGACACACCCUGCAGUUAUCAGUUAUCAGCAGAGAGCAGACGCAGCCUUCAGAACAGACACUCCAACAAAGAACCAGAAGCAACAUAUCUUCCAUUCAUGAGCAGCUUCAACUGCUUGGAUAUCUCAGACAGCCCAACUAAGCUCUCUCUUAGCUGGACCCUCUAUUUUAUACCCAUUCCCCUCCCUCCAGGUCUGAGGGGCCCUCCCAAAAGGUCAAGAAAGCGGAUGGAGGCGGCUUCUGCACCUAAACCAAUCCCUCCUUGAGGAUCCCUGUGUGUGGAAGGGGCUUGAUAUAAGAAUCCCAGCCUCUGGCUUGUGUGGGUAUAUUCCCUUCCACAAGCCUCUCUGGCUCAUAGCAUGCAGGAAGCAGCUGACCUACUCAUCUAACAAAACACAGCUGCUGCUGUUCACUGAGGACUUCUGUGCACCAUGGAUUGAAGACGCUAAAGGUGCCAGCCCCACUGAAAAAGUGAAGCCUGUGUUCAGUUUGACACAAAGUCAAGUGUCCAUCUGGGUGACCACAUCCUCACACCAAGGAAUUCCUGGACAGGAGACCAGUAAAUGGGUAGUGAAUGUGGUUUUGAAGAGUCCAGUACGACCUCCUCCAAACAGCUAAUGCAAGCUGACCUGUAGGAAGUCUAGUAGACCCUCUUCAUAUGGCUGAAAAGACUCCACGCAGUGUUACAGAGAGAGAGAGAGAGACUCUGCUAUUCCUCCUUCAGGACAGUGGUUAAAGGCUUUGGACAUGGAUGAGUUCCAGUUAUAUCCUAAAUGUUAAAUGCACUUCUUCAAUGCAUCAAAGGAAAAAUUGUCCAAACAACUUGCAGCUAAGUUUGUCCACAAUGCAUUCCCACCCUACCUACCUUUCAUUUUCCAUGCUUUCCCCAGAGGCUACCAUGUAACAUACUUGUUUUAAAAGUAUGGCUUAAAGAGACUGAACAGUAGAGGCUCUCAGCUUCUGGCACUUUCACCCAGCUUUCUAAAGUGGACCUGUUGCCAAGCACAGAGGAAGAGGGAUGGAAAGAAACGAAGGACAGUUUCAUCAGAGCACAAAAUAGCCUUUUCCAUCUCUCCAUCUAUCGGCCCUCAGUGACCCGGAAAAUCUGCAUGCACACGGGAAAAAGAAGGCACUUUGAAUUAGAGAGCUGUACAAAUAAUCACCCUGCUUUAAUAAGUAAUGUCUGUACUGUCUGAGCUCCUUUUG